AAGAUGAUUCCAAAGAGUCGUGUUGCUUGAUAGUGCAGCACUAAGUGGGUGGUAAACUCCAUCUAAAGCUAAAUAUAACCAUGAGACCGAUAGUAAACAAGUACCGUGAGGGAAAGUUGAAAAGAACUCUGAAUAGAGAGUUAAAUAGUACGUGAAACUGUUUAGAGGUUAAGCCCGAUGAACCUGAAUAUCCAUUAUAGAAAAUACAACAUUAUGAUUAUAAUAUUAUAUAUAUAUAUAUAUAAAUAUAUAUUAAUAUAUAUUAAAUGUUAUGAAAAUAGUGUGCAUUUUUUCUAUAUAAGGACAUUGUAAUCUAUUAACAUUAAUACAUUUAUCAUAAAAUCAUUAAGAUUGAAGUUUAUUCAAAUUAAUAUUCUAUUUUGUAUAUUAAUAUCGAAUAAAUUCUUAUGAUUUGAUAAAGUGUUGAUAGAUUGAUUAUAUAUGAUGCUUAAAUUCUUAUAGAAUUUUGUAAUUGCAUAUUUAUCUUAUGAUUUUUAUGUUUAUUACAUGCACUAAUAUGAUUAACAAUGCGAUAGAUUCAGGAUACCUUCGGGACCCGUCUUGAAACACGGACCAAGGAGUCUAACAUAUGUGCAAGUCAUUGGGAUUUAUAUUUAUUAAACCCAAAGGCAUAAUUAACUUAAAUGUAAUAUUAAUGGGAUAAAUUUUUAAUCUAUUUAUAGAUUAUUAAUACAAUCCCGGGGCGUUCUAUAUGGUUAUGUAUAAUAAUAUUUAUAUUAUUUAUACCUCUAACUGGAGCGUACCUUGAGCAUUUAUGCUGUGACCCGAAAGAUGGUGAUCUAUACUUGAUCAGGUUGAAGUCAGGGGAAACCCUGAUGGAAGACCGAAACAGUUCUGACGUGCAAAUCGAUUGUCAGAAUUGAGUAUAGCUGCGUAAGACUCAUCGAACCAUCUAGUAGCUGGUUCCCUCCGAAGUUUCUCUCAGGAUAGCUGGUGCAUUUUAAUAUUAUAUAAAAUAUUCCUAUCUGGUAAAGCGAAUGAUUAGAGGCCUUAGGGUCGAAACGACCUUAACCUAUUCUCAAACUUUAAAUGGGUAAGAACCUCACCUUUCUUGAUAUGAAGGUUGAGGUUAUGAUAUAAUGUGCCCAGUGGGCCACUUUUGGUAAGCAGAACUGGCGCUGUGGGAUGAACCAAACGUUAUGUUACGGUGCCCAAAUUAACAACUCAUGCAGAUACCAUGAAAGGCGUUAGUUGCUAAAAACAGCAUGACGGUGGACAUGGAAGUCGUAAUCCGCUAAGGAGUGUGUAACAACUCACAUGCCGAAGCAACUAGCCCUUAAAAUGGAUGGCGCUUAAGUUGUAUACCUAUACAUUACCGCUAAAGUAAAUGAUUUAUAUUCAAUUUCGGUUGAAUUUUAAAUUUUGAAACUUUAGUGAGUAGGAGGGUACAAUGGUGUGCUUAGAAGUGUUUGGCGUAAGCCUGCAUGGAGCCGCCAUUGGUACAGAUCUUGGUGGUAGUAGCAAAUAAUCGAAUGAGACCUUGGAGGACUGAAGUGGAGAAGGGUUUCGUGUGAACAGUGGUUGAUCACGAGUUAGUCGGUCCUAAGUUCAAGGCGAAAGCCGAAAAUUUUCAAGUUAUAAUGAAAAUCUAUAUAGAAUUAUAUAUUUAGGAUUUAAAUACUUGAUUAUUUUUGAACGAAAGGGAAUACGGUUCCAAUUCCGUAACCUGUUGAGUAUCCGUUUGUUAUUAAAAAUGGGCCUUGUGCUCAUCCUGGUAACAGAAACGAUCAUAAAGAAGCCGUCGAGAGAUAUCGAAAGAGUUUUCUUUUCUGUUUUAUAGUCGUACUACCAUGGAAGUCUUUCGAAGAGAGAUAUGGUAGAUGGGCUAGAAGAGCAUGACAUUUACUGUUGUGUCGAUAUUUUCUCCUCGGACCUUGAAAAUUUAUGGUGGGGUCACGCAAACUUCUCAACAGGCCGUACCGAUAUCCGCAGCUGGUCUCCAAGGUGAAGAGUCUCUAGUCGAUAGAAUAAUGUAGGUAAGGGAAGUCGGCAAAUUAGAUCCGUAACUUCGGGAUAAGGAUUGGCUCUGAAGAUUGAGAUAAUCGGGCUUGAUUGGGAAGCAAUAAUAUGGUUUAUGUACUCGUUCUGGAUAAAUAAAGAUUUUCGGAUCUUGUUCCCCGGAUAGUAGUUACGUAACCAAUUGUGGAACUUUCUUGCUAAAAUUUUUAAGGAAUUAUCGAAAGAUAUAUUCUUUUUAAAUUAUAACGAUUAUCAAUUAACAAUCAAUUCAGAACUGGCACGGACUUGGGGAAUCCGACUGUCUAAUUAAAACAAAGCAUUGUGAUGGCCCCAGCGGGUGUUGACACAAUGUGAUUUCUGCCCAGUGCUCUGAAUGUCAACGUGAAGAAAUUCAAGUAAGCGCGGGUCAACGGCGGGAGUAACUAUGACUCUCUUAAGGUAGCCAAAUGCCUCGUCAUCUAAUUAGUGACGCGCAUGAAUGGAUUAACGAGAUUCCUUCUGUCCCUAUCUACUAUCUAGCGAAACCACAGCCAAGGGAACGGGCUUGGAAUAAUUAGCGGGGAAAGAAGACCCUGUUGAGCUUGACUCUAGUCUGGCAGUGUAAGGAGACAUAAGAGGUGUAGCAUAAGUGGGAGAUAUUUGAAUUUAUUCAAUUAUCGCCAAUGAAAUACCACUACUCUUAUUGUUUCCUUACUUACUUGAUUAAAUGGAACAUGUAUCAUUUCUUAGCCAUUAUACGGAUAUAUUUAUAUAUCUUAUGGUAUUAGGUCUUGAUGCAAGCUUCUUGAUCAAAAUAUCACGAGUUUGUUAUAUAAUUGUAAACAGAUUUUAAUGAAAUUAUAGCAUUUUUUCGAUGUUAUUAUUAUAAUUGAGAUUUGGUAUAACUCCAACACUCAGGUAUGAUCCAAUUCAAGGACAUUGCCAGG
RNAcentral lists this ribosomal RNA (2906 nucleotides) under Conops chinensis. RNAcentral's name for it is "eukaryotic LSU rRNA". It matches the Rfam family "Eukaryotic large subunit ribosomal RNA", at positions 248 to 2612 of the family's 3401-position model. Lineage: Eukaryota; Metazoa; Arthropoda; Insecta; Diptera; Conopidae. The record is from RNAcentral.